GGAAACAGGUGCUAAUACCGGAUAAGAAAGCAGAUCGCAUGAUCAGCUUUUAAAAGGCGGCGUAAGCUGUCGCUAUGGGAUGGCCCCGCGGUGCAUUAGCUAGUUGGUAAGGUAAAGGCUUACCAAGGCGAUGAUGCAUAGCCGAGUUGAGAGACUGAUCGGCCACAUUGGGACUGAGACACGGCCCAAACUCCUACGGGAGGCAGCAGUAGGGAAUCUUCCACAAUGGACGCAAGUCUGAUGGAGCAACGCCGCGUGAGUGAAGAAGGUUUUCGGAUCGUAAAGCUCUGUUGUUGGUGAAGAAGGAUAGAGGUAGUAACUGGCCUUUAUUUGACGGUAAUCAACCAGAAAGUCACGGCUAACUACGUGCCAGCAGCCGCGGUAAUACGUAGGUGGCAAGCGUUGUCCGGAUUUAUUGGGCGUAAAGCGAGCGCAGGCGGAAGAAUAAGUCUGAUGUGAAAGCCCUCGGCUUAACCGAGGAACUGCAUCGGAAACUGUUUUUCUUGAGUGCAGAAGAGGAGAGUGGAACUCCAUGUGUAGCGCUGGAAUGCGUA
RNAcentral lists this ribosomal RNA (554 nucleotides) under uncultured bacterium. Its description in RNAcentral is "bacterial SSU rRNA". It matches the Rfam family "Bacterial small subunit ribosomal RNA", at positions 152 to 692 of the family's 1533-position model. The record is from RNAcentral.